RNAcentral lists this ribosomal RNA (170 nucleotides) under Salmonella enterica subsp. enterica serovar Senftenberg. Its description in RNAcentral is "partial 16S ribosomal RNA". It matches the Rfam family "Bacterial small subunit ribosomal RNA", at positions 1 to 164 of the family's 1533-position model. Lineage: Bacteria; Pseudomonadati; Pseudomonadota; Gammaproteobacteria; Enterobacterales; Enterobacteriaceae. The record is from RNAcentral. RNAcentral also lists the same sequence under 60 other names.
AAAUUGAAGAGUUUGAUCAUGGCUCAGAUUGAACGCUGGCGGCAGGCCUAACACAUGCAAGUCGAACGGUAACAGGAAGCAGCUUGCUGCUUCGCUGACGAGUGGCGGACGGGUGAGUAAUGUCUGGGAAACUGCCUGAUGGAGGGGGAUAACUACUGGAAACGGUGGCU